This 428-nucleotide ribosomal RNA is filed under the name uncultured bacterium. RNAcentral describes it as "bacterial SSU rRNA". It matches the Rfam family "Bacterial small subunit ribosomal RNA", at positions 354 to 796 of the family's 1533-position model. The record is from RNAcentral.
GUCGGGAAUAUUGGGCAAUGGAGGAAACUCUGACCCAGCAACGCCGCGUGAAGGAAUAGAAGGUCUUCGGAUUGUAAACUUCUGUCGCGAGGGACGAAGAAUGACGGUACCUCGUAAGAAAGCCCCGGCUAACUACGUGCCAGCAGCCGCGGUAAUACGUAGGGGGCAAGCGUUGUCCGGAAUGACUGGGCGUAAAGGGAGUGUAGGUGGCAUAAUAAGUUAUAUGUGAAAGCCCGCGGCUUAACUGCGGAACUGCAUAUAAAACUGUUAAGCUUGAGUGCAGGAGAGGUAAGCGGAAUUCCUAGUGUAGCGGUGGAAUGCGUAGAUAUUAGGAAGAACACCAGAGGCGAAGGCGGCUUACUGGACUGUAACUGACACUGAGGCUCGAAAGCGUGGGGAGCAAACAGGAUUAGAUACCCUAGUAGUCC